This 1366-nucleotide long non-coding RNA is filed under the name Elaeis guineensis (African oil palm). RNAcentral describes it as "long non-coding RNA (EGUI_LNC018914)". The record is from RNAcentral. Lineage: Eukaryota; Viridiplantae; Streptophyta; Magnoliopsida; Arecales; Arecaceae.
UAGUCUUUGCUGGUUGUCAUAGAAAUGCUCUAGAUUCCUUUGAUUCUGAUUUCUGAGAGUAAAUAUUGAGGAUCAUAUACCUCAUUUUCUUAAAGAGCUACUAGUGAAUGAAUAGAAAAUGUAAUUGAACUUUGAAGGUGUGACUGCAUUUCAGGUGACUCUUUAUGUUUUAUCUAUUUGAAGUUUCAGGUUUAUAAGAUCUUGUCUUCCUUCUUAGACCCAGUUAUGUUGAAAUUCGGAAUUUUGAUCAGUUGGAAAACUUCUUGUUUCUUCCUCGAUUGAAAAUACCAAGAUCUGAAGAAAGCAGUAGGUCCUGGUUCCACUUGUUUCUUCUAUUCUGUGUUCUUGUACGUUGUAACAUAAAUCACUUUUAUGAUUGGUGACCUUAUCGUUUCUGGAAUAUUUAUAAGAAAGAAAUAUUGUGGCUCAUAUUUAUCAUCGUGAGAUGAUUUCCUUACAUCAUGUUCUUUUUGCUUUUGUUUAUAUUCCUGAUUCUUAUUGCUCUGGGAAAGAUGCAGUUACUUGGAUCUUAUCUUUUCUCCAGUAGGUUGAUUUGUUUGAGACUUGGCAUAUUAGGUUCCCUUUCUGUAGCAAAGGUUUUUUGACGUUGGGCAUGGUGUCCAUGCUUAACAGAAAAGAUGUAUGUCUGUUGUUUCACUACCAGGCCACAUUCUUGCACUUGCAUGCAUCAAAGUAGCUUGAGGCAAUUGGAUGCUUUAGAUCAUUGGAUAAUUAUCCUACUGCUCUCAUUGGCCAUUCCGCUAAUUAAUAUAUUUUAACAAGUUAAGUGAAAUGGCAUUAGUGUCAGCAGGAGUAUCAUGUAUGUUAAAUGGAUUCUCUCAUUUAGUUCUCAACAUUUUUCUCUUCCCAUUCCACAGCAUCAUUUCAUCCUUCUAUGAUCAACUAAACCUGAUGACUAAUUAUAUUUCUUUUGCAGAGUAGAUUAAGUUGGAACUGGAUGAUUGUAUGUUGGACAGCUAUAAACUUCAAGCUAUGGUCCAAAUAUAUUCAGUUGGCAUCAUGCUUCGGGAUAAUGAUUUUGGUAUUGCUUGAACCAAAUCAGGUCACUAGAUUGCAGUAUAAAUUAUUUACGCCAGAAUUUUACAAAAAACUGUUUCAAUGAUUUCUUUGUAAGGUUUACAAGGGCUCUAGUUUAGAUCAAUAAAUUUCAACAUGUGAAUGGGUAUUGUUCCUGCUAUAAGAUGCAGAUUUUAUGCUAAGAUAGUUCAUGUAUAUUGCAUUAGACUUGAGGAAUGUAUAAAAUAAAAUGUUCAGGCUGUUAUAUACUUGAAAUUUUGAACCCAGAUUCAUAUGAUAUUAUUGUUAAUUUUUAAACUGAUUAUAGACCAUGUCUGUCGACUUACCC